RNAcentral lists this ribosomal RNA (253 nucleotides) under uncultured bacterium. Its description in RNAcentral is "partial 16S ribosomal RNA". It matches the Rfam family "Bacterial small subunit ribosomal RNA", at positions 524 to 776 of the family's 1533-position model. The record is from RNAcentral.
UACAUAGGGGGCAAGCGUUGUUCGGAAUUACUGGGCGUAAAGGGCGCGUAGGCGGCCGCCUAAGUCAGACGUGAAAUCCCUCGGCUCAACCGGGGAACUGCGUCUGAUACUGGGUGGCUUGAAUCCGGGAGAGGGAUGCGGAAUUCCAGGUGUAGCGGUGAAAUGCGUAGAUAUCUGGAGGAACACCGGUGGCGAAGGCGGCAUCCUGGACCGGCAUUGACGCUGAGGCGCGAAAGCCAGGGGAGCAAACGGG